RNAcentral lists this ribosomal RNA (468 nucleotides) under uncultured bacterium. Its description in RNAcentral is "partial 16S ribosomal RNA". It matches the Rfam family "Bacterial small subunit ribosomal RNA", at positions 28 to 507 of the family's 1533-position model. The record is from RNAcentral.
GACGAACGCUGGCGGCGUGCUUAACACAUGCAAGUCGAACGAAAAGGCCCUGCUCUUGCGCGGUGCUCGUGUGGCGAACGGGUGAGUAACACGUGUAUGACCUCCCCCUGACUUUGGGAUAACUUCAGGAAACUCCGGCUCAUACCGCAUAGGAGCUCCCGCUCCACGGGGGUGGUUGGAAAGAUUUGGCGGUUGGGGAUGGACUCGCUGCUCAUCCGCUUGUUGGUCGGGUAGUUGCUUACCAAGCCUUUGACGGCUAGCCGGCAUGAGAGGUGGACCGGCGACAAUAGGACUGAGGGACGGAGCAGACGGGUACGGGAGGCAGUAGUGGGGAGUAUGGCAGAAUGGGCGGGAGCGUGAUGCAGCAGCGCCGCGUGCGGGAUGACGGGCUUCGGGGGGUAAACCGACGUGGACGGUGACGAAGAGGGAGUGACGGUAAUGGGUAAAAAAGCACCGGCUAACUACGUG